CCAAUUUAAAGCUAUAUAACUUCCCUAAAUUGGCAAAAAGACUGAGAGGCUUUACAGAAUUGCAGAGACACCAUGACAGUAACGCUCCCACAUGCUGCGGAAUCUCUGCUGCCCUCCAAGAUCCCAAAGCUUUAUAGUCACAUUGCCUUUUGUAACUUUCUUCAUGUUAAAUCCAACAGUUGGAAUCAUGUCCUCACUGUACCCUCC
Molecule: unclassified non-coding RNA, 207 nt
Filed under: Hevea brasiliensis (rubber tree)
Lineage: Eukaryota; Viridiplantae; Streptophyta; Magnoliopsida; Malpighiales; Euphorbiaceae
Source: RNAcentral